AAUCUAGAGAAGUGUUACCCGCGUCGGACCGUGUACAAGUCUCCUGGAAUGGAGCGUCAUAGAGGGUGAGAAUCCCGUCUUUGACACGGACGCCCGAUGCUUUGUGGUGCGCUCUCAACGAGUCGAGUUGUUUGGGAAUGCAGCUCAAAAUGGGUGGUAAAUUCCAUCUAAAGCUAAAUAUUGGCGAGAGACCGAUAGCGAACAAGUACCGUGAGGGAAAGAUGAAAAGAACUUUGGAAAGAGAGUUAAACAGUACGUGAAAUUGCUGAAAGGGAAACGCUUGAAGUCAGUCGCGUUGGCCGGAAAUCAGCCUUCCUUUUGGUUGAUGUACUUUCUGGUUGACGGGCCAGCAUCAGUUUUGACCGGUGGAAAAAGUUGUAGGGAAUGUGGCAUCUUCGGGUGUGUUAUAGCCCUGCUUCGUAUACAUCGGUUGGGACUGAGGAACUCAGCACGCCGCAAGGCCGGGGUUCGCCCACGUUCGUGCUUAGGAUGCUGGCAUAAUGGCUUUAAUCGACCCGUCUUGAAACACGGACCAAGGAGUCUAACAUGCCUGCGAGUGUUUGGGUGGAAAACCCGAGCGCGUAAUGAAAGUGAAAGUCGAGAUCCUUGUCAUGGGGAGCAUCGACGCCCGGACCA
Molecule: ribosomal RNA, 636 nt
Filed under: Ephemerocybe hiascens
Lineage: Eukaryota; Fungi; Basidiomycota; Agaricomycetes; Agaricales; Psathyrellaceae
Description: LSU rRNA
Rfam family: Eukaryotic large subunit ribosomal RNA
Source: RNAcentral